CCCGACUGCUAUCGGAGUGGGACUAAGCCAUGCGAGUCGAACGCCCCGGGCUGGCGGGGCGUGGCGUACGGCUCAGUAGCACGUGGCCAACCUACCCUGCGGACGGCUAUAACCCCGGGAAACUGGGGCUAAUAGCCGAUAGGGGAUGGGUGCUGGAACGCCCCGUCCCCAAAAGGGCUACACACCCAUGCCGUGUGUAGCCGCCGCAGGAUGGGGCUGCGCCCUAUCAGGUAGUAGGUGGGGUAACGGCCCACCUAGCCUAUAACGGGUGCGGGCCCUGGGAGGGGGAGCCCGGAGAUGGGCACUGAGACAAGGGCCCAGGCCCUACGGGGCGCAGCAGGCGCGAAACCUCCGCUAUGCGCGAAAGCGUGACGGGGCCACUCCGAGUGCCACCCGCAGAGGGUGGCUUUUGCCCAGUCCAAAAGGCUGGGCGAAUAAGGGGAGGGCAAGAUUGGUGUCAGCCGCCGCGGUAAUACCAACUCCCCGAGUGGUCGGGACGAUUAUUGGGCUUAAAGCGUCCGUAGCCGGUCAGGUGUGUCGUCGGUUAAAUCCGACGUCUCAAGCGUCGGACUGCCGGCGAUACUACCUGGCUAGGGAGCGGGAGAGGCGGCCGGUAUUCCCGGGGUAGGGGUAAAAUCCUAAGAUCCCGGGAGGACCAUCGGUGGCGAAGGCGGGCCGCUAGAACGCGUCCGACGGUGAGGGACGAAAGCUGGGGGAGCGAUCCGGAUUAGAUACCCGGGUAGUCCCAGCUGUAAACGAUGCAGGCUAGGUGUGCGGUCACCUUCGGGGUGGCCGUGUGCCGAAGGGAAACCGUUAAGCCUGCCGCCUGGGGAGUACGGCCGCAAGGCUGAAACUCUAGAGGGGAAAUAAAACUAAACCCCUCUAGGGCAGCAGACUUAAAGGAAUUGGCGGGGGAGCACCACAAGGGGUGGAGCCUGCGGUUC
RNAcentral lists this ribosomal RNA (944 nucleotides) under uncultured crenarchaeote. RNAcentral's name for it is "bacterial SSU rRNA". It matches the Rfam family "Archaeal small subunit ribosomal RNA", at positions 21 to 903 of the family's 1478-position model. Lineage: Archaea; Thermoproteati; Thermoproteota. The record is from RNAcentral.